AGGCAGUUGGCGGCAUGCUUUAACAUGCAGUCGAACGGCAGCGCGGGCUUCGGCCUGGCGGCGAGUGGCGAACGGGUGAGUAAUAUAUCGGAACGUACCCAAGAGUGGGGGAUAACGUAGCGAAAGUUACGCUAAAUACCGCCUAUAGGCGUAUCCCAAGGGGGGAAAUGAAACGCGAGGGGCCCACCGCAAAGCCGCCUUUUGUGCUCCUGGGGGACCGCGGCCAAAUAUUUCUAGAAUUAAGCUUAAGUUGGGGGUGGGGUUAAAAGGCCCCCCACCAAAGGGCAAAACGAUCCAGUAAGGCUGGUUCUGAGGAGGGACGGCACCAGCCCCACACUGGGAAACUGAGAACCACGGUCCCAGACUUCCUACCGGGGAGGCCAGCCAGUGGGGAAAUUUUGGAACAAUGGGGGGCAACCCUUGAUCCCAGCCAAUGCCGGCGUGAGUGAAGGAAGGCCUUUCGGGGUUGUAAAAGCUUCUUUUGUCAGGGAAAGAAAAAGGUUCGUGGGCUAAUAUCCCACGACUGCUGGACGGUACCUGAAGGAAUAAGCACCGGGCUAACUACGUGCCCAGCAGCCGCGGUAAUACGUAGGGGUGCAAGCGUUAAUCGGAAUUACUGGGCGUAAAGCGUGCGCAGGCGGUUUUCGUAAGUCUGUCGUGAAAUCCCCCGGGCUUAACCUGGGAAUGGCGAUGGAGACUGCGAGGCUAGAGUUUGGCAGAGGGGGGUAGAAUUCCACGUGUAGCAGUGAAAUGCGUAGAGAUGUGGAGGAACACCGAUGGCGAAGGCAGCCCCCUGGGUCAAAACUGACGCUCAUGCACGAAAGCGUGGGGAGCAAACAGGAUUAGAUACCCUGGUAGUCCACGCCCUAAACGAUGUCUACUAGUUGUUGGGUCUUAAUUGACUUAGUAACGCAGCUAACGCGUGAAGUAGACCGCCUGGGGAGUACGGUCGCAAGAUUAAAACUCAAAGGAAUUGACGGGGACCCGCACAAGCGGUGGAUGAUGUGGAUUAAUUCGAUGCAACGCGAAAAACCUUACCUACCCUUGACAUGGCAGGAAUCCCGGGAGAGAUUUGGGAGUGCUCGAAAGAGAACCUGCACACAGGUGCUGCAUGGCUGUCGUCAGCUCGUGUCGUGAGAUGUUGGGUUAAGUCCCGCAACGAGCGCAACCCUGGUCAUUAGUUGCUACGCCAGAGCACUCUAAUGAGACUGCCCGGUGACAAACCGGAAGAAAGGUGGGGGAUGAACGUCAAGUCCUCAUGGGCCCUUAUGGGGUAGGGGCUUCCCACCGUCCUUACAAUGGGUGCCUACAGAGGGCCGCCAACCCGCGAGGGGGAGCUAAUCCCAGAAAGUGUAUCGUAGUCCGGAUUGUAGUCUGCAACUCGACUACAUGAAGUUGGAAUCGCUAGUAAUCGCGGAUCAGCAUGUCGCGGUGAAUACGUUCCCGGGUCUUGUACACACCGCCCGUCACACCAUGGGAGCGGGUUUUACCAGAAGUAGGUAGCUUAACCGCAAGGAGGGCGCUACCACGUUAGAUUCGAAGGU
This 1544-nucleotide ribosomal RNA is filed under the name Massilia sp. RNAcentral's name for it is "bacterial SSU rRNA". It matches the Rfam family "Bacterial small subunit ribosomal RNA". Lineage: Bacteria; Pseudomonadati; Pseudomonadota; Betaproteobacteria; Burkholderiales; Oxalobacteraceae. The record is from RNAcentral.